AAAGAGUGCGUAAUAGCUCACUGGUCGAGUGAUCCUGCGCCGAAGAUUUCCGGGGCUAAAACUUACUACCGAAGCUACGGCAUCAGUAAUGAUGGGUAGGGGAGCUUCCCAUACGGGUUGAAGCAUGACCGUAAGGACAUGUGGACAGUAUGGGAGUGAGAAUGUUGGCAUGAGUAGCGAGAUGUGGGUGAGAAUCCCACAGGCCGUAAACCCAAGGUUUCCAGGGGAAGGUUCGUCCGCCCUGGGUUAGUCGGGACCUAAGCUGAGGCCGAAAGGCGUAGGUGAUGGACAACAGGUUGAUAUUCCUGUACUACCGAUAACCGUUUGAGAGAAGGGAUGACACAGUAGGAUAAGCUAAGCACACUGUUGGUUAUGUGUGCCCAAGCAUUGAGGCAGUCAAAGUAGGCAAAUCCGCUUUGAUAAUGCUGGGAUGUGAUGGGGAGCGAAAUUUAGUAGCGAAGUAGCUGAUUUCACACUGUCAAGAAAAGUCUCUAUCGAGGUUAAAGGUACCCGUACCGCAAACCGACACAGGUGGGUGAGGAGAGUAUCCUAAGGCCAGCGAGAGAACUGUUGUUAAGGAACUCGGCAAAAUGACCCCGUAACUUAGGGAUAAGGGGUGCCACCAUCAGGUGGCCGCAGAGAAUAGGCCCAAGCGACUGUUUACCAAAAACAUAGGUUUCUGCUAAGUCGCAAGACGAUGUAUAGGAGCUGACGCCUGCCCGGUGCUGGAAGGUUAAGGGGAUCUGUUAGAGCAAUCGAAGCAGUGAACUUAAGCCCCAGUAAACGGCGGCCGUAACUAUAACGGUCCUAAGGUAGCGAAAUUCCUUGUCGGGUAAGUUCCGACCCGCACGAAAGGCGUAACGAUUUGGGCACUGUCUCAACAACAGACUCGGUGAAAUUGUAAUUCCGGUGAAGAUGCCGGAUACCUGCGACAGGACGGAAAGACCCCAUGGAGCUUUACUGUAGCUUGACAUUGGGUCUUGGUACUACAUGUACAGGAUAGGUGGGAGGCUUUGAAACCAGGACGCCAGUUUUGGCGGAGCCAUCCUUGGGAUACCACCCUUGUAGUACUGGGACUCUAACCAUAGGCCAUGAAUCUGGUCUUGGGACACUGUCAGGUGGGCAGUUUGACUGGGGCGGUCGCCUCCCAAAAGGUAACGGAGGCGCUCAAAGGUUCUCUCAGUACGGUCGGAAAUCGUACGUAGAGUGUAAAGGCAAAAGAGAGCUUGAUUGCAAGACAUACAGGUCGAGCAAGGAUGAAAAUCGGACUUAGUGAUCCGGUGGUUCUGCGUGGAAGGGCCAUCGCUCAACGGAUAAAAGCUACCCUGGGGAUAA
RNAcentral lists this ribosomal RNA (1335 nucleotides) under Clostridioides difficile. RNAcentral describes it as "partial 23S ribosomal RNA". It matches the Rfam family "Bacterial large subunit ribosomal RNA", at positions 1125 to 2477 of the family's 2925-position model. The record is from RNAcentral. Lineage: Bacteria; Bacillati; Bacillota; Clostridia; Peptostreptococcales; Peptostreptococcaceae.